Molecule: ribosomal RNA, 117 nt
Organism: Cavia porcellus (domestic guinea pig)
Lineage: Eukaryota; Metazoa; Chordata; Mammalia; Rodentia; Caviidae
Source: Ensembl
AGUCUAGGCCAUACCACCCUGAACGCGCCCGAUCUCGUCUGAUCUCGGAAGCUAAGCAGGGUUGGGCCUGGUUAGUACUUGGAUGGGAGAAGUAAAAUGAGACCCAGUUUAAGGCUU